RNAcentral lists this ribosomal RNA (910 nucleotides) under uncultured bacterium. RNAcentral describes it as "bacterial SSU rRNA". It matches the Rfam family "Bacterial small subunit ribosomal RNA", at positions 8 to 916 of the family's 1533-position model. The record is from RNAcentral.
AGAGUUUGAUCAUGGCUCAGAUUGAACGCUGGCGGCAUGCCUUACACAUGCAAGUCGAACGCGAAAGGAGGGGGCAACCCCUCCGAGUAGAGUGGCGGACGGGUGAGUAAUACAUCGGAACGUACCCAGUAGCGGGGGAUAACCUCUCGAAAGAGAGGCUAAUACCGCAUACGACCUACGGGUGAAAGAGGGGGAUCGCAAGACCUCUCACUAUUGGAGCGGCCGAUGUCGGAUUAGCUAGUUGGUGGGGUAAAAGCCUACCAAGGCGACGAUCCGUAGCUGGUCUGAGAGGACGGCCAGCCACACUGGAACUGAGACACGGUCCAGACUCCUACGGGAGGCAGCAGUGGGGAAUUUUGGACAAUGGGCGCAAGCCUGAUCCAGCCAUGCCGCGUGAGUGAAGAAGGCCUUCGGGUUGUAAAGCUCUUUCGGCGGGGACGAAAAGGUCCGUGUUAACACCACGGAUCCAUGACGGUACCCGCAGAAGAAGCACCGGCUAACUACGUGCCAGCAGCCGCGGUAAUACGUAGGGUGCAGGCGUUAAUCGGAAUUACUGGGCGUAAAGCGUGCGCAGGCGGUUUGUUAAGACAGAUGUGAAAUCCCCGGGCUUAACCUGGGAACUGCGUUUGUUACUGGCAAGCUUGAGUGUGGCAGAGGGGGGUGGAAUUCCACGUGUAGCAGUGAAAUGCGUAGAGAUGUGGAGGGACACCGAUGGCGAAGGCAGCCCCCUGGGCUAACACUGACGCUCAUGCACGAAAGCGUGGGGAGCAAACAGGAUUAGAUACCCUGGUAGUCCACGCCCUAAACUAUGUCAACUGGUUGUCGGGGAAGCAAUUCCUUGUAACGAAGCUUACGCGUGAAGUUGACCGCCUGGGAGUACGGCCGCCAGGUUAAACUCAAGGAUUGACGG